AUGAUUCCACCAAUAGGAAAGUGGACUGUGUCAAGUCUGAAGCAGGCGCUGACCAAAUCCGAUGUCCAGCCUUCAAGUAAGUUAAACAAAGCAGAAUUAUAUGACUUGUACACAAAUAUGCAUCUAACUAACCUCUCUCCCAAGUCCACCCCAACCCCAAAGAAAGGCAAAAGGCAACACAAAACUUCAGACAAGCCUGGGCCAUGCCCCAGAUCCCGCCGCUGCAAGGGUGCAGCCGACACAUGCCGCAGCUCAGCCUCGCACCGCGGCUUCAACUUCAACAACACCUGGGGCUGUAGCUCAAGCAAGCACUUGGCCGUCUCCGCUGCCAAUUACAGCCCAGCCGCAUGCCACUUUCAGCUUAGACCUCGCAGCCCAAGCAAGCGUUUGGCCACACUGGCCGUCACACACAGCCCUGCCACCCGCCACCUCCAGCUCUGGACCCACAGCCCAAGCAAGUGCUUGGCCGCACUAGCCCUUCGAACACGGCCCUGUCGUCUGCCACCUUCAGUUCGGGGCCUGCAGCUCAAGCAAGCGCUUGGCCUCACUGGCCGUCACACACAACCCCGCCGCCCACCCCUUUCAGCUCAGAGCCCGCGGCCCAAGCAACCGUUUGGCCGCACUGGCCAUCAAACACGGCCCUGUUGCCUGCCACCUUCAGUUUGGGGCCCGCAGCUCAAGCAAACACUUGGCCGCACUGGCCAACACACACAUUUCGUCGAAUUGAUUAAAAUUGUGGGUCGAGGAGCCUGGCUCACAGAAAUAGACAUCACUUCUGCCUUCAAAGUAAUGCCUAUUCACCCGGACUCAUGGCAUUUGUUCUAUUUUUGGCUCAGGAAAUUCAAUUUCGCCAUCCGUUUAACCUUUAGAUGCAAAAGCAGCCCCAACAUUUUCGACAUGUUAUCAGAAGCCGUUUGGUGCAUUUUGUCCAAUAAUUAUGCAAUUCCCCACCUUAUUCACCUCUUAAACCACUUUCUGGUCAUUUCACCUCCCGACGUAAUCCCAGCUGCCCACAUCCUCACAGUCCAAAAAAAUUUUUCCGAGCUUGGGAUCCCCAUCGCUCAGGAAAAAAACACUGGUCCCGCUACAUUCAUCGAGUUCCUCAGUCUCAACUUCAGUUAA
Cyprinus carpio (common carp) is the source of this 1122-nucleotide long non-coding RNA. The record is from Ensembl. Lineage: Eukaryota; Metazoa; Chordata; Actinopteri; Cypriniformes; Cyprinidae.